GAGCAGCUCUGCAUCAGUCUCGUGCCGCGGCACUUCGGGGAUGCCGGGCGGUGCUCUUCUGAUCCCGGAGCCGUCUCCUCCUUCCCUCCCUCUGCCCGGCAUCACAAAACAUUUACGUGGCACCGCACGGUUACAAUCACACACCCCGUCCCUGGGCCCUCUCGCUGUCGGGCUGACACAGGAGCUCCUCGCCCACCCCGCUCCUCCUCCCGGCCGAAUGACGUCCUGGCGGCACGCAGCUCCCCCGGGGCAGAGAGAGGAGCAGCAUCCCUUGCAACGAGCAGAAAAGGGGAAGGGAGAGGCGGCGGGAGGGGACGCGGAGGGAGGGGUUUAGUGCUGCCUUGCAUAGGGGGGAAGGGGAGGUUUCGGUGCCUGAGAAAAGGCGAGGCGCAGCGCUGCCCAUCGCCCUCCUCGCCAAUUCCCCGAGCGCUGGGCUUACUUUUCCACCCAGCCGCCUGUUUCUCCGCUCUCCCAUUGCCCGGCUUCUUUUUUCCUGUAUUAUUGAGCGAGUUUUCUUUUCUUCCCCUUCUCCUUUUCCAGUGGGUGGGGAAAAGAAGAAAACCCGUUGUUUUAAAUCACACAGACCGAAGGUGGUCCGUGCAAACUGCUGCAGGGAACCUGCUUUAGCAGCGGCUGGACUGGAUGAUCCCCAGAGGUCCCUUCCAAGUCCUGAGAUUCAGCGAUUGCUGUAAAACAGAACGGGAAGGAUGCAGAAGCCACACAUUUAGCAGGGAGCACACGUGCUUUUUUCUUUCUUUUUAUCAUUGAUAAUACCACACUGUCUCCUUAGCUUCAUAAAUAUUUCCUCUUCUGAAAAGCAAAUGUCAGGCCAGCUGUGUAAGUAAGAUCUGCCUCCCGAGUGCAGGUUGCCUUCAGGCUUUGUUGCUCUGUUCCUUACUUCUCAUCCUCCCCUCCUCCCUAAUUCCCUCUUUCAGGAGCCACAUGCAUUACAGCCCACCAGAAAUGCUUUCUCAGAAGAUUUUCUGGGCCAGGAAAGAGAGCUUGUCAAAAAUCACAUCAUGACACAGGGAUGUGUCAGUAGCACUGGAAACUGAUAGCAUUUGUUUCCAUUUUCUGCUGUGACACAAUACUCAAUGUCUUCAAAGUUACGUAUCAUCUAUGAAAUAAAUUUCUAUUUUGAUCCUACUGUAUGGGGAUGAAGUCUCCCUACCUUAGAUCUUCUUCCUGCUCACAAUCAUCAGGAACACUCUUUGUUCUCCCAUUAGUACAUAUUUUACCUUUCAGGACUGUGCCUAUGAUACAUGAAGGAUCCUCAUAAAACUUUGGUUUGAGGUGAACAGCUGUGGCUAUUGGUGAUUUUUUUUUUAAAUAAACAGUUAAACUAACAAACAUUAACUCACAGAACACAGGAGUCAGUCCCCAUAAGAAUUACAACAUUCCCUUUCAGGAGUUGCUGCAUAUUGCUUCCAUACAGAAUAAGGACAUGCUUCAUAGGAGCUCCAGCUCUGCUUAUUUCACCUCUUUUAAUAAGAUAUAGAAUGAACCUUGGUGCUGCAAAGGGCAGUCCUGCCGGCAGCCAUAGAGGAACAGAGUCUCUGCAAGUCUGCAAAGCUGAUAUGAUGUGGGCAACGUCAGGAAAAGCCUUUCUUGUCACAUCCCCCCCAUACUUAUCCAAUGCAGCUCACCUACCCACCCAGAGGAAGGUUCUUCCAGAGUGCUCAUUAUAUGGUGAUAAUUUUCCCACCUUGAGCUGCACCACUGCCUCACCCACAUGUUGGAAUUAGCACAGUUCUAGGCAAUGCAAAUAAAAACUUUUGCAUUUUGAGUAAAAUCCUACUUCUCUUGCCACGAGUGAAACUGCUAACAGGCACUGCCAUCUGCUGGCGCCAUGUCCUGCCACUGAUUUCUCUACAAAUAGAGAAAGGGUUUAAAGUGGAUUCUCCCAGCUCCCGCUGGUCUGUGAGCUUGUAGAAAUCUGUAUUUCCCGACACUCCACCUGCAUUAUUCAGCUAGAAACGAGACCUCUCCUCUCUUGAGGCAUCAGCUCAUGAGCAGUUGCACCAUCCUGGUGCUUCUCUUUGCAAUCACACCGUGCUGCGCUCAGAUGGCAGAGCAGGGCAUGCUGUAAGGCUGCUGCUGUCCCAGGGUGUGAUGCACCAGGAGCAUUAAUAAGCACAGCAAAGACAGUGCUUGAUGUACUUCAGAGGUCCAUCAGGAGCCUCCUAGCAAGCACUGUUUACCUUCUGCAUGGUCCAUGUGUGUGCAUCUUGGUGGAGUUUUGUCACUUGAUUUUUGUUUCCUUAUUCUUACACUCUAAAUCUCUGCACUGUUUUCCCUAUUUCAACAUCUUCCAGUUUGCACUGACUGAAGAUCAGGCAGAUCUGAAAAGUACGCUUUGUGACUCACUGACAUCAACGUGCCCUUGCUAAUGUGGUUUAAAAGCUGCUAAGAGCCUCACGAGCUUGGAACAUAAUGAAUUAUUCUGGGUAUCAGAUUGCUGCAGGACAGAUUUCACAGAUGAUGGUAGUACAGUUUGGGAUUAUUCUCAGACCAGCAUGGAAACAGGGAAACGCAGAGAGAAUGCUUCUGAGUCAAGGAGGCAAACUUCUCCCACUGUUUGGGAUGAAAUUCACCUCGGAAAGCAUCCCUUAGGAUACAGUGGUCCAAGUCUAAAUAGUCAUGCUCUUUCCUCUCUAACUGCAAAAGACAAGCAGUACCAGAUCGCAUCUAAAUCAGAGCCUUGCAAUAGAAUGGGAUGGGUCACCUGGAGUACAUGGGCACAGAUUUCACUUUGAUGCAACAUUUUGGUUUUACUGGGGGUGCUCUCCAGCUCCAGCAGCUGUGCUUCACUGCUCAUAGGGCCCAUAGAGAUGAAAUCACGGCAACCCAGAAUGCUCAGUUCCUGGAACUGCAAACAGAACAGGAUUGGAAGAGCAAACUUUAAUCUUGUUUAGGUGUAACAAAAUAGCUCUCUGAGAACAUUAUGUAUAUAGAAAGCUAUCAUAAAGCAAACCUUAGUUUGGAUUUGUGUUGGAUUAAGCUCCAUUUCCUUAAGUUUUCUUUGCACAUAAAUGAGCCAUCCACCCCAAUGGACACAGACCAGCCCAUGGCAUUUAUUACCCAAAGGGACAGAUUUCAGUCCGAGCAGCAGUGACAGAAUCUGUACUUUGCCCUGGAAUGAGUGGUGGCUCUCAAUGGCUUUAUGUGUGCUGAAAGGAGAGGGCUCAGCAACUCUAGGGAACAUUUCAAUUUGCUGUGCGGGUUGAUCCCUGGAACAAGGCAGCCUCCUCCUGUUUAUCAACCAUCAGUCCACCAUCCCACCAGGAGGAAACAGAGUUGUAAGAGCCAAUGCUGGAAGAUCAUCUCUAAAAUCAUCUCAUCCACCUCCACUCUUCCCUGAUGCUCUCAGCCGAAUGGGAGCAGAGCUUCCAAGUAGAUCCAAACUCAGUGACAGUCACCCCUCUGCCUCGAGGUCCUGCUGUGCUCUGAGGCUCAUUCAAACCCCAAACUCAAAGUGAAAUUUGGGAAGUAGGAAAGAACGGGAAGAAAAAAACAGCAAGAAACCCGAAUUCCUGCACCUCAGUUAAGUGUGAGCAGAGGAGUCUGCUUGCCUUUUCCUUUGAUAUGAUAAUGAGAGCUAAUACUAACCUGGGGAAGGAGACAGCUCUUCCUACAGCUGUCUGGGACUCCUGCAGAACACUGAUCCACAC
Long non-coding RNA from Meleagris gallopavo (turkey), 3671 nucleotides. The record is from Ensembl. NCBI's taxonomy places the organism in Eukaryota, Metazoa, Chordata, Aves, Galliformes, Phasianidae.